This 433-nucleotide ribosomal RNA is filed under the name uncultured bacterium. RNAcentral describes it as "partial 16S ribosomal RNA". It matches the Rfam family "Bacterial small subunit ribosomal RNA", at positions 29 to 507 of the family's 1533-position model. The record is from RNAcentral.
AACGAACGCUGGCGGCAUGCCUAACACAUGCAAGUCGAACGAGACCUUCGCGUCUGGUGGCGCACGGGUGCGUAACGCGUGGGAACCUGCCCGUCGGUUCGGAAUAACCCCCCGAAAGGGGUGCUAAUACCUCCCACUUUCUUCCGACCAAGGAUUUAUCGCCUUUGGAUGCGCCCGCGUCGGUUUCGCUAGUUGUUAGGGUAAAAGCCUCCCAGGGCAACGAUCCAUAGCUGGCCGGAGAGAGUGAUCAGCAGCACGGGGACUGAGACACGGCCAGGACUCCUCGGGGAGGAGGCGGAAGGAAAUAUCGGAAAAGGGGGGAAAGCUGGAUGAAGCACGGCCGGGUGAGUGAUGCAGGCCUUAGGGUUGUAAAGCCUUUUUACCCGGGAGGAUAAUGACAGUACCGGGAGAAUAAGCCCCGGCUAACUCCGUG